This 158-nucleotide ribosomal RNA is filed under the name Ramalina sinensis. Its description in RNAcentral is "5.8S ribosomal RNA". It matches the Rfam family "5.8S ribosomal RNA". From Rfam's summary of the family: 5.8S ribosomal RNA (5.8S rRNA) is a component of the large subunit of the eukaryotic ribosome. Lineage: Eukaryota; Fungi; Ascomycota; Lecanoromycetes; Lecanorales; Ramalinaceae. The record is from RNAcentral.
AAAACUUUCAACAACGGAUCUCUUGGUUCUGNCAUCGAUGAAGAACGCAGCGAAAUGCGAUAAGUAAUGUGAAUUGCAGAAUUCAGUGAAUCAUCGAAUCUUUGAACGCACAUUGCGCCCCUCGGUAUUCCGGGGGGCAUGCCUGUUCGAGCGUCAUU